GUUCUUGUAGUUAAAGUUCGAUAACGGCAGUUUUUCAGGCUGCAGAUCCUGGAUAUAGGCCGGGCGAGAACU
RNAcentral lists this transfer RNA (72 nucleotides) under Toxostoma redivivum. Its description in RNAcentral is "tRNA-Glu". The record is from RNAcentral. Lineage: Eukaryota; Metazoa; Chordata; Aves; Passeriformes; Mimidae.